Molecule: long non-coding RNA, 661 nt
Organism: Eubalaena glacialis (North Atlantic right whale)
Lineage: Eukaryota; Metazoa; Chordata; Mammalia; Artiodactyla; Balaenidae
Exons: 3
Source: RefSeq, a predicted model, not a curated record
GUCUAGCCAGGAGGACUGUUCGAGGGAGGGCGGCGAGCGGGCGCGGGUUUGAUUUCUGAGCCCUAUAAAAGCCCAUCCUCCGAUGGCUGUGACAAUGUGGUCGUAAACCCGUCCGGGGCCGGCCAAUUUGCAUAUUUGGAAUGCGCCGCUAUAAACCCGGCUGGGAUUUUGCAGCAAUUUCUUAGAUGUAAAAAUGAGAUCUCUUUAGCAGCGGGCUGGGCACACUCUCUCCCUCUGUCUCUGCCUUGAGCCUGCUCUCCUUUCCCGGCUCCGGGCUGGAGUUCGGGCCCGGCCUAGGCGCUCAGCCGCCACGAGAUGGCGCACUUCCGAUCAAUGUCAAAGCCGCCGGGGAGCCGGGAACCCCAGCGCAUUUCUUGGCCUUUGUUCGCUUUAGAUACUAAGAGCGGCACGUUACAUUAUUUCACUUGUCCCGCUCUCCUUCGUAUCAAAAAAAGGGGGGCUCACCUUCAAGAGGUGGUUGGUGUUGUAAUUUAAAGCAACGCGCCUUCUCUAGGCCUCGCAGGCGUCGCGGCGCGGAGAAGCCAGCUUUCCCUUGGCAGUGAUUUCGGAAAUGUGUCAAGACGUCCAGUCUGCAGAGCCGGUCACCGCGGGGCACAGAGGUCCUCCAGCAGCGUGCGAAUGCCAAGGCUAAAGGGAGAGU